RNAcentral lists this unclassified non-coding RNA (207 nucleotides) under Hevea brasiliensis (rubber tree). Lineage: Eukaryota; Viridiplantae; Streptophyta; Magnoliopsida; Malpighiales; Euphorbiaceae. The record is from RNAcentral.
UACUACAUGAAGAGUAUGACACCUAGUGCUUUUGAAGCUGCUCUACGUCAGAAAGAAGGCGAACUUGCAUCGUACAUGUCUCGUUUGACAUCUAUGGAAUCAAUACGAGACUCUCUUGCAGAGGAGUUGGUCAAAAUGACAGCACAGUGUGAAAAGUUGCGGGCAGAGUCUGCCUUGUUGCCUGGCAUUCGAGCAGAACUAGAAGCA